AGGGUCUAGUAUAUAUAUAUAAUGUAUGUAAAUUAGUGUCCCAAUGCUGGCCUAUUGUACUUUAGUUAAUGGUGAAUCUUUUUAUGAGUGAUUUUUUCUUCUUUUUUUUUAUUGGAGAGAUUAGGAUAGUAGUGUGUCAUGACAAUUCAGACCCAAUUGUGUACUUAUUGACAUAAAAAGUCACAUUGUUUCACUAAUAGCCGAUUCAUGUUCCUCGUGAAUAUUUCAAAAGUUCAGGUUCAUUAAAUGUCAAAUUUUCUUUUUCAUUCCUUUUUGCGCCAACUUCUAUUAGAAGUAAUACCUACUCCCUCCGUUCUGAAAUGUAAGAUGUUUAGAAGAUAUUCUUUAAAAUCAUGUUAUUAUAAUUGUUGUCGAGAGACAAA
RNAcentral lists this long non-coding RNA (383 nucleotides) under Brassica rapa (field mustard). Its description in RNAcentral is "long non-coding RNA (BRAP_LNC006847)". Lineage: Eukaryota; Viridiplantae; Streptophyta; Magnoliopsida; Brassicales; Brassicaceae. The record is from RNAcentral.